Molecule: transfer RNA, 92 nt
Filed under: Candidatus Babelota bacterium
Lineage: Bacteria
Also listed under: 1 other name
Description: Candidatus Dependentiae bacterium tRNA-Ser
Rfam family: tRNA
About the family: Transfer RNA (tRNA) molecules are approximately 80 nucleotides in length. Their secondary structure includes four short double-helical elements and three loops (D, anti-codon, and T loops).
Source: RNAcentral
GGAGAGAUGGCUGAGUGGCUGAAAGCACCUGCCUGCUAAGCAGGUAUCUGGAGAAAUCCGGAUCGAGGGUUCGAAUCCCUCUCUCUCCACCA